UCAGGCAAAAAAGCCUCGCGAAACAUGGAUGGAACUGGGGACAUGGGUGUCAGAAAAAGGUUCCCAAGAAAGUUCAUCGAUUGGCACUUGUCGGAGAGUUGAUGCCUUCACCACUCUGGACAGCGUAUCCUGCAAUGCGUUCUUUUCCCAAUGAUAAUGCCAUGUUCUUCAUCUACAGCUGCGUUUCCAUGGUGGGCUUGGCUGGGGACAAAAGCAAUGGAGAUCUAUGAUCGUGUCAUGUCGCAGAAGAAGAAGCCCAAGCAGUGCGUGCUUGAGACAAUCAAUCGAACAAAUGAGAGGUGAUUUGCGUCCCGUCCCAAAUCGCAGAUCCAUGAAGUGACACGCGGAAGCAGGGAGAUAUGGUGACAACGGUGGAGGAUCACGCUAUCCUCCUCUCCUCGGCCAAUCAUCGACGCCUACUCCAAAUGCGCGAGGUGGAUACGCCCCGUAAGGUGUUCGAUGCAAUGCCUCACAGAAACGUCGUCUCUUGGGAUGAACUCGUUGAAGGGGGUACCAAGACCACCACGAUAUCUACAGAGCGCCCAUUUUUCUCUCGACCUCUAAGGAGGACUUCUUUACCACAGUUACACAAAAGGGCUUAUCGGUACGCUCCUCAGUCGCUUACCAGACUCCUUUCGUCAAUCACUUGACCUCAGUAAGUUGGCACCUCAUCUCUGCAGGCCCAUAAAAUAACUUACGUCUUUCUUCAGUCUUGAAGUUAUGCCAUCCAUUUUAAAGCCUUUAACUCUUUAUCAUUGUACGAAUCAUUGUGCAAAAGGUAUUAUGACCAGUUCAGUUCGGAUUAAAUUGUCCGACCAGCUCGGCUCGCAUCAAUGCAGCCCAAUCGGCUCAGGUCAAGCCGAAUUGCUCGAGUAGCCCAACUUUGGCUCACAUGGGCCCAUCUUGGCCCAAGUCCAUCAUGCCUUCUUUCUUUAAGAAAGGAAAAGGCUUUUGUACCUCCUAAGGUUUAAAUCUAAAAUCUUUUGCCACCACAUUACUUCAUCACUUUUGUUUAAGAAUACAAUAUAAAUGUACAUGGUUAUAUUGAUGCAUCCGACAACCCCAUGGCAUUUAAUUUGCAUGUGACGCAUCCCCUUUGUACAUGAUGCUCCUACCCAAGACAAAAUGCCAUCCAAGGUAUCCAAUGUGACAAAUGUGUCCACCUUGUGCAUUAUUUAUUUACUUAAGACAAAAAUACAUGAUGCAACCCAAGGUACUCCCUUUGUGCAUGUUGUAUCCACCAAGUAUAGAAACAUUUGACUCAUCGUAAAGUGUGUCUUUGUACAUGAUGCAUCCACCUAAGACAGCAUUCCAAGUACAUGACACAUCCUGAAGCUUUGGAAAAGAAACUAACCGAAAUACAAGUACACAUUCUUAAAUUUAAAUGAUAGUCGUUGACCUUAACAAUCAGAAAAUUCGUUUUUGUUACAAUCCAUCUCACUAAGUUAUGGCAUCAUAUAGAGCUCCUUAUGCCAUGCUUGCUCAAAGCAUGUUCUUUUGCCUGGAGUUGUCUUUCAUGCAUGCAUAUUCGAGUACAUGUAUGCUCAAAGCAUGUUCUUUUGCCUGGAGUUGUCUUUCAUGCAUGCAUAUUCGAGUACAUGUAUGCUCAAAGCAUGUUCUUUUGCCUGGAGUUGUCUUUCAUGCAUGCAUAUUCGAGUACAUAUAUGUGGCAAUAUCUCUACCAUACAACUAUUCUUUCCCUUCGAAAACAGUUCUUUGCUAUCCUUUAUUCUUAGCACUUCGACUUGCUAUUACACUUUGCUAGUGAAGCAAGAAAGCACUCCUAGUUGAUCAUCUAAAGUUGUUAAACUUUCUUGGUCUCCUGAUAAUGCAGUACAAAGAAAUCAUCAUACCAAUAUGUGGCUUCUAUUCUAUUGUCAAGCUAAUCUUUCAUCCCUGAGCAUUGUGAAAAAGUAGUAGUAUAGGCUACUUCAGAAGUUAAUUCAGUGUCACACUUUUAUAGCAAUGUUUACAAUUCUUGAAGAGCUUUGUGGUUGUCAUUCUGCAUCUAAAGUUUUGGUUAUAGCCCACCAAGGUGCUCUGUGUUCUUGUAUAGCAUGACAAAAUGCUGAAUGAGAAGUGAUAUCUUGUUAUUGUUCA
This is a long non-coding RNA of Musa acuminata AAA Group (dessert banana), 2100 nucleotides long. RefSeq lists it as uncharacterized. The transcript has 3 exons. NCBI's taxonomy places the organism in Eukaryota, Viridiplantae, Streptophyta, Magnoliopsida, Zingiberales, Musaceae. The record is from RefSeq and is a predicted model, not a curated record.